Molecule: non-coding RNA, 644 nt
Organism: Xyrichtys novacula (pearly razorfish)
Lineage: Eukaryota; Metazoa; Chordata; Actinopteri; Labriformes; Labridae
Source: the annotation of a GenBank genome assembly
UUGACUGUUUUCUUGCUGACUGUUUUCUUGCUGACUGUUUUCUUGUUGACUAUUAUCUCGCUGACUGUUUUGGUGUUGACUGUUUUGAUGUUGACUGUUUAUGGUUGACUGUUUUCUUGUUGACUGAUUAUGGUUGACGUUUUCUUGCUGACUGUUUUCUUGUUGACUGUUUUCUUGCUGACUGUUUUCUUGUUGACUGUUUUCUUGCUGACUGUUUUCUUGUUGACUGUUUUCUUGUUGACUGUUUUCUUGCUGACUGUUUUCUUGCUGACUGUUUAUGUUUGAGUGUUUUCUUGCUUGUGUCGGCAGUCGUGGCCAAAGGAGGAUUCAGACAAUUUUCCGAACUUUCUGGUUGGUUUCUACUGUCCGAUAUUGUAGCACGCUAACUUUGUUUGGGCUCCUGAACGACACGGGGGAGCAGCGUCUGCCUCACAACCAAUCAGGUUAGAGGAGGUGGAGAACGGCUUUGUUUACAGUCAGAAAGAGCGGACCGCUCAAAAAUGUUCAAAUGUUGACGACACAGACAUAAGAGAACACAGAGAUAUCUAUAUAUUACCAAAUUUCAUCAAUAACUAAUAACUAUUGACUGAUAUUAGAAGAUUUUUUUGUAAAUACACCACAAAAAAAAGAUGCUUCUUUAACGG